AACGAACGCUGGCGGCAGGCUUAACACAUGCAAGUCGAACGCCCCGCAAGGGGAGUGGCCGACGGGUGAGUAACGCGUGGGAACAUACCCUUUUCUACGGAAUAGCUCUGGGAAACUGGAAUUAAUACCGUAUACGCCCUACGGGGGAAAGAUUUAUCGGGGAAGGAUUGGCCCGCGUUGGAUUAGCUAGUUGGUGGGGUAAAGGCCUACCAAGGCGACGAUCCAUAGCUGGUCUGAGAGGAUGAUCAGCCACAUUGGGACUGAGACACGGCCCAAACUCCUACGGGAGGCAGCAGUGGGGAAUAUUGGACAAGGGGCGCAAGCCUGAUCCAGCCAUGCCGGGUGAGUGAUGGGGGCCUUAGGGUUUUAAAGCUCUUUCACCGGUGAAAAUAAUGACGGUAGUCGGAGAAGAAGCCCCGGCUACCUUCGU
RNAcentral lists this ribosomal RNA (430 nucleotides) under uncultured bacterium. Its description in RNAcentral is "partial 16S ribosomal RNA". It matches the Rfam family "Bacterial small subunit ribosomal RNA", at positions 29 to 506 of the family's 1533-position model. The record is from RNAcentral.